CGGUGAAGUGUUCGGAUCG
RNAcentral lists this non-coding RNA (19 nucleotides) under Arabidopsis thaliana (thale cress). The record is from RNAcentral. Lineage: Eukaryota; Viridiplantae; Streptophyta; Magnoliopsida; Brassicales; Brassicaceae.